Molecule: long non-coding RNA, 493 nt
Organism: Suricata suricatta (meerkat)
Lineage: Eukaryota; Metazoa; Chordata; Mammalia; Carnivora; Herpestidae
Exons: 3
Source: RefSeq, a predicted model, not a curated record
UUGGCAUUCCCACCAGUGCAAAAGAGAUUCUCUUUCUCCGCAUCCCUGCCAACGUCUGUUGUUUCCUGGAUUAUUAAUUUUAGACAGGUGACUUUUAGGAGCAAGAAGUAGCCUUCUGGAUGCUUCAGUGCAAGCUCCCCAUUGAACAGAUGGACAGCCAGAGACCAAGAGGGGAAAUCUGGGAGGCAGUGGGAAGGCCCCAGCUUGCAUCUGAUGAAAAGGCCUUUAAGAUUAUUGAGGACGUGCCCCUUGCCAACUGGACCUCAUCUAACCCACAUCAAAACUCUCAUCAAGGGAUCCCCGCACCAGCGGCUCCUUCCAAGCACUGAUUAACAGCUGGGACGCACCUGGUGGGCAGAUGUCAGCUCCUCGUCACCCUGCUGGAUCCUGUGGGUGCGUGCAUACGAGUUUGCAUCUGCGCGUGUGUGUGUUCAGCUGCGUGUGCAUAUGCACAUGGUGUGUCUGAAAACCAACCUCAAAUGACAAAAUCGCC